GUAGCUCAGUUGGAUAGAGCAUCUGCCUUCUAAGCAGAGGGUCGCGGGUUCGAUUCCUGCCG
Molecule: transfer RNA, 62 nt
Filed under: Sutterella wadsworthensis
Lineage: Bacteria; Pseudomonadati; Pseudomonadota; Betaproteobacteria; Burkholderiales; Sutterellaceae
Rfam family: tRNA
About the family: Transfer RNA (tRNA) molecules are approximately 80 nucleotides in length. Their secondary structure includes four short double-helical elements and three loops (D, anti-codon, and T loops).
Source: RNAcentral